UACGUAGGGGGCAAGCGUUGUCCGGAUUUAUUGGGCGUAAAGAGCGUGUAGGCGGCCAUGCAGGUCCGCUGUGAAAACUCGAGGCUCAACCUCGAGACGUCGGUGGAAACAGCAUGGCUAGAGUCCGGAAGAGGAGAGUGGAAUUCCCGGUGUAGCGGUGAAAUGCGCAGAUAUCGGGAAGAACACCCGUGGCGAAGGCGGCUCUCUGGGACGGUACUGACGCUGAGACGCGAAAGCGUGGGGAGCGAACAGG
This 253-nucleotide ribosomal RNA is filed under the name uncultured bacterium. Its description in RNAcentral is "partial 16S ribosomal RNA". It matches the Rfam family "Bacterial small subunit ribosomal RNA", at positions 524 to 776 of the family's 1533-position model. The record is from RNAcentral.